This 92-nucleotide non-coding RNA is filed under the name unclassified sequences. The record is from Rfam.
GGCUCGGGCGCAGACCGGUGGGACGGUCUGCAGGAAUGGAGCCCCACCCCGUUUCGCACGUCACGCGCGGCCGAAGCCCGGCGGUCCGCGCG